ACAACUCUAGAGAUAGAGCCUUCCCCUUCGGGGGACAAAGUGACAGGUGGUGCAUGGUUGUCGUCAGCUCGUGUCGUGAGAUGUUGGGUUAAGUCCCGCAACGAGCGCAACCCUUAAGCUUAGUUGCCAUCAUUAAGUUGGGCACUCUAAGUUGACUGCCGGUGACAAACCGGAGGAAGGUGGGGAUGACGUCAAAUCAUCAUGCCCCUUAUGAUUUGGGCUACACACGUGCUACAAUGGACAAUACAAAGGGCAGCGAAACCGCGAGGUCAAGCAAAUCCCAUAAAGUUGUUCUCAGUUCGGAUUGUAGUCUGCAACUCGACUACAUGAAGCUG
Molecule: ribosomal RNA, 335 nt
Filed under: Staphylococcus aureus
Lineage: Bacteria; Bacillati; Bacillota; Bacilli; Caryophanales; Staphylococcaceae
Description: bacterial SSU rRNA
Rfam family: Bacterial small subunit ribosomal RNA
Source: RNAcentral